RNAcentral lists this ribosomal RNA (259 nucleotides) under uncultured bacterium. Its description in RNAcentral is "partial 16S ribosomal RNA". It matches the Rfam family "Bacterial small subunit ribosomal RNA", at positions 8 to 263 of the family's 1533-position model. The record is from RNAcentral.
AAAAUUUGAUCCUGGCUCAGGAUGAACGCUAGCGGCAGGCUUAACACAUGCAAGUCGAGGGGCAGCGGGGUGUAGCAAUACACUGCCGGCGACCGGCGCACGGGUGCGUAACGCGUAUGCAACCUACCCAUAACAGGGGCAUAACACUGAGAAAUUGGUACUAAUUCCCCAUAACAUUCGAAGAGGCAUCUCUUUGGGUUGAAAACUCCGGUGGUUAUGGAUGGGCAUGCGUUGUAUUAGCUAGUUGGUGGGGUAACGG